Molecule: ribosomal RNA, 507 nt
Filed under: uncultured bacterium
Lineage: Bacteria
Description: bacterial SSU rRNA
Rfam family: Bacterial small subunit ribosomal RNA
Source: RNAcentral
AACGAACGCUGGCGGCGUGGAUAAGACAUGCAAGUCGAACGAUUAUCAUCGGGUAGCAAUAUUCGGUGGUGAGAGUGGCGCAAGGGUGCGUAACACGUGGGUAAUUUGCCAUGAAGUCUGGAAUAACUUGCUGAAAGGCGAGCUAAUACCGGAUGUGAUUUUUGGAAGGCAUCUUCUGAAACUCAAAGUCGGGGACCGUAAGGCCUGACGCUUCUUGAUAAGCCCGCGGCCUAUCAGCUAGUUGGUGAGGUAACGGCUCACCAAGGCUAAGACGGGUAGCUGGUCUGAGAGGACGACCAGCCUCACUGGAACUGAGACACGGUCCAGACACCUACGGGUGGCAGCAGUCGAGAAUUUUUCUCAAUGGGGGAAACCCUGAAGGAGCGACGCCGCGUGGGGGAUGAAUGGCUUCGGCCCGUAAACCCCUGUCAUUUGCGAUCAAACCUUACGACCUAACACGUCGUGAGCUGAUAGUAGCGGAAGAGGAAGGGACGGCUAACUCUGUGC